Molecule: long non-coding RNA, 980 nt
Organism: Mercenaria mercenaria
Lineage: Eukaryota; Metazoa; Mollusca; Bivalvia; Venerida; Veneridae
Exons: 3
Source: RefSeq, a predicted model, not a curated record
AACACCUCAAACAACAGCACCAGAUAAUAGGCAUUAAAAGUCAUUUCAUAAGUACAACAAAUUGUAAAUGAUAUUAUGCUUUUGAUGUAAUGUUACAUCCUCAUAAAUGAAUUAGUCUAUUCUUUUGAUGACUGGCAGUGAUUAAUUAUCCUGCUUUUACAGCCACUUGAUAUACUGCUGUUCAAUGUAUACACAUGUGUUAACACACAGAGAUACAGCUUAUCUGAUCAAGAUAAGGACCAAUGAAAAUACAGGCUUCUGAACCGUUUUACACCUGUACUGCAAAAAAUAAUCCCCAUCUUUCUGCUUGUUUUUUUUUUCUCUGAGAUCUUUGCAAAUGCUGUGAGCAAAUAAAUGGUCAAAUUUCCCCAUGAACUGUAUACUUAUAUAUUUUAAGAACAUAGAUAUUCCCUUCAGUAACUAUAUAUUGUACCAAAGAAAAUGGCUCAUGAGUACAAAAAUUUGAAUGUAAACAGGAAGUUCGUUGUUCAUGUUGUUGGAGGUAAAUGGAAUAAAGCUAACUUGAAACUCUAAAAUGCUUUUAGAGAGAUAUCAGAUGAAACAGUACCUGUGCAUAUAUCUAGUUAUUAGAGGUAUAUGCCUAUAUGUAUGAAUUGAUGUAGUUGGAGAAAUCAGAUCGCUUCAGUACAUGACUAUGCUACAGGAUGAUACAAGAUCACAGACAGAAAUUCGAUCAAGGAUCAAACAUAAAUUACAUAAUACUUCAACUAAAUUAAAUGAAUGGCUGGAAUGAAGUUCCUGACCCUGGUGAUGAUUUUGGAAAAGCAAAGAGACAUUCUGAUGCCACCUUGUAUUGAGCCUGCAAUACUCCAAAAUGAUUUUGUUGUAUUCAUAAUUUUCUAUCAAAUAAUCUUUUAGUUUAAUUUUCAAAUUUAAGCUAAGUGAGUUUUUAUUAUUCUUAACCACAAGUGUAAAAGCCGCUGGCAGAUGUGUUAUUCCCUUUGAAUUUUAUUCUUUUG